GACGAACGCUGGCGGCGCGCCUAACACAUGCAAGUCGAGCGAUGAACAUUCAUUGAUCCCUUCGGGGUGAUUUGAAUCGGAUUAGCGGCGAACGGGUGAGUAACGCGUGAGGAACCUGCCUCUCACAACGGGAUAGCCUCGGGAAACCGGGAUUAAUACCGUAUGACACCAUUUUCUGGCAUCUUAAAAUGGUUAAAGUGCUAGCGGUGAGAGAUGGCCUCGCGUCUGAUUAGUUAGUUGGUGGGGUAACGGCCUACCAAGACGACGAUCAGUAACCGGCCUGAGAGGGUGAACGGUCACAUUGGAACUGAGACACGGUCCAAACUCCUACGGGAGGCAGCAGUGGGGAAUCUUGCACAAUGGGGGAAACCCUGAUGCAGCGACGCCGCGUGAGCGAUGAAGGUUUUCGAAUCGUANAGCUCUGUCCUAUGGGAAGAUAAUGACGGUACCAUAGGAGGAAGCCCCGGCUAACUACGUGCCAGCAGCCGCGGUAAUACGUAGGGGGCGAGCGUUGUCCGGAAUUACUGGGCGUAAAGGGUUCGCAGGCGCAUGGNCAGUCUGAUGUAAAAGGCGAAAAGCUCACUUUUCGUAGCAUCGGAUACUGUCAAGCUUGAGUGAAGGCCUUGCAAGUGGAAUUCCUAGUGUAGCGGUGGAAUGCGUAGAUAUUAGGAGGAAUACCGGUGGCGAAGGCGACUUGCUGGACUUCAACUGACGCUGAGGAACGAAAGCGUGGGUAGCAAACAGGAUUAGAUACCCUGGUAGUCCACGCCGUAAACGAUGAGUGCUAGGUGUCGGGGGUCAUACCUCGGUGCCGUCGUUAACACACUAAGCACUCCGCCUGGGGAGUACGUGCGCAAGCAUGAAACUCAAAGGAAUUGACGGGGACCCGCACAAGCAGCGGAGCAUGUGGUUUAAUUCGAAGCAACGCGAAGAACCUUACCAGGACUUGAAAUACUAGCGCCCACUUUAGAGAUAAAGUUUUUUCUUCGGAAACGCUAAUACAGGUGGUGCAUGGUUGUCGUCAGCUCGUGUCGUGAGAUGUUGGGUUAAGUCCCGCAACGAGCGCAACCCUUACUUUCUAGCUUGCCAGCACGUAAUGUCGGUAACUCUAGAGGGACUGCCGAUCAUAAAUCGGAGGAAGGUGGGGAGGACGUCAAAUAAUCAUACCCUUUAUGUCGUCCAGGACACACGUGCUACAACAGUCGUUACAAAAAGGAGCGAAAGAGCAAUGUCAAGCGAAUAUCAAAAAACCCCUCCCAUUUCGGAGAGCAGGGUACAACUUCCGCUCAUAAGAAUUCGGAAUCCUUGUAAUCGCAGAUCAAAAUACUCGCGGAGAAUACGUUCCCGGGUUA
Molecule: ribosomal RNA, 1352 nt
Filed under: uncultured bacterium
Lineage: Bacteria
Description: bacterial SSU rRNA
Rfam family: Bacterial small subunit ribosomal RNA
Source: RNAcentral